ACGGGGCGCAGCAGGCGCGAAACCUUUGCAAUACACGAAAGUGUGACAAGGGGAUUCCAAGUGUGCAUAUACCAUAUGCACUUUUUCGAAGUUUAAAACGCUUUGGGAAUAAGGGGUGGGCAAGACUAGUGCCAGCCGCCGCGGUAAAACUAGCAUCUCGAGUGGCAGUCACAAUUAUUGGGCUUAGAGCGUCCGUAGCUCGUUCGGAAAGUCUCUGGUGAAAUCCUACGGCUUAACCGUAGGGCGCGCCGGAGAAACUACCGAGCUAGAGGGCAGGAGAGGUCGGGGGUACGUCUGGGGUAGGGGUGAAAUCCUAUAAUCCUAGACGGACCAACAGUGGCGAAGGCGCCCGACAUGAAUGCGCCUGACAGUGAGGGACGAGAGCCAAGAGCGCGAAACGGAUUAGAUACCCGUGUAGUCUUGGCCGUAAACGAUGCCGACUAGGUGGGGUGUGACCUUAGUGGUCAUGCUAUGCCGAAGGGAAACCGUUAAGUUGGCCGCCUGGGGAGUACGCUCGCAGGGUGAAACUUAAAGGAAUUGGCGGGGGAGCAC
This 552-nucleotide ribosomal RNA is filed under the name uncultured archaeon. RNAcentral's name for it is "bacterial SSU rRNA". It matches the Rfam family "Archaeal small subunit ribosomal RNA", at positions 325 to 879 of the family's 1478-position model. The record is from RNAcentral.